UGUGCCGUGCAGAAAUUGACACAAGUGUAUUAAAAUCACACAGUUCAUAAUAUGUAUUUACUUCGAAACCAAAGCAAAAUGAUGUGCCUGUAAGUGAUAUUUUAGUUCAAGCGGGUUGGUCAAAUUCAACGACCUUUGGAAAAUUGUUUUACAAGACAGUAAGUACAAGUGAUGGUUUUGCAGCAAACGAAGUGUUAAAAAUUUGACUGUAUUAAAUGUUUGUUUUAUGAUUGAGUGUUUAAUGAGAACAAUAUGAAUGCUACAUAAUGUAUAUGUCUUUAAUCUUCUUGGUGCAAACAUUUCUAAGUGUAACUUAUAACAUUUGCAUCAUAGGUAUGCAUCGUUACUAAAGGGACAAAUAAG
Molecule: long non-coding RNA, 363 nt
Filed under: Mytilus galloprovincialis (Mediterranean mussel)
Lineage: Eukaryota; Metazoa; Mollusca; Bivalvia; Mytilida; Mytilidae
Source: RNAcentral